This 439-nucleotide ribosomal RNA is filed under the name Clostridioides difficile. Its description in RNAcentral is "bacterial LSU rRNA". It matches the Rfam family "Bacterial large subunit ribosomal RNA", at positions 1572 to 2023 of the family's 2925-position model. Lineage: Bacteria; Bacillati; Bacillota; Clostridia; Peptostreptococcales; Peptostreptococcaceae. The record is from RNAcentral.
AGCGAAAUUUAGUAGCGAAGUAGCUGAUUUCACACUGUCAAGAAAAGUCUCUAUCGAGGUUAAAGGUACCCGUACCGCAAACCGACACAGGUGGGUGAGGAGGGUAUCCUAAGGCCACCGAGAGAACUGUGGUGAAGGAACUCGGCAAAAUGACCCCGGAACUUAGGGAGAAGGGGUGGCACCGUCAGGUGGCCGCAGAGAAUGGGCCCAAGUGACUGUUUACCAAAAACAUAGGUUUCUGCUAAGUCGCAAGACGAUGUAUAGGAGCUGACGCCUGCCCGGUGCUGGAAGGUUAAGGGGAUCUGUUAGAGCAAUCGAAGCAGUGAACUUAAGCCCCAGUAAACGGCGGCCGUAACUAUAACGGUCCUAAGGUAGCGAAAUUCCUUGUCGGGUAAGUUCCGACCCGCACGAAAGGCGUAACGAUUUGGGCACUGUCUCA